CUGAAAACUAGGCUAUCUUUUCAAAAAAGGUUUUAAGGAUUUGAAAUUAUGUAUUUACAGCUGAAGACUUUUCAGUAACUGUAUCGAAACGCAAUAGUCGCUAAUCCAGUUAACUCUUCUGCCACAUUCAUCGAAGGGGAGUGAGAGAGAGAGAGUGACCCUACUUUAGCCAGACUUAUCUGCUUAGACGGCUCUGGCUUGAAGGCAGAGAAGCUUUUGAGAGUUGCGGUAGGUGGAACGUGAAGCUAUACUAGCUUUCACGGGAAGGCCAAUUGUUGGUUCAGAGUUCAGACCACACUCACACAUCCUGAUAACAUUUUGCAGAGCAGGAAUAGAGUAACGUAAAAAAUGAGAGUAGCAGUGGUUGGUGCUGGGAUUAGUGGACUCGUUUCAGCUUAUGUUCUUGCAAAAGCUGGAGUUGAGGUUGUGCUAUACGAGAAAGAGGAUUACUUAGGCGGCCAUGCCAAGACUGUCACCUUCGAUGGUGUUGAUUUAGACCUCGGCUUCAUGGUCUUCAAUCGGGUAACAUAUCCAAAUAUGAUGGAGUUCUUCGAGAGACUUGGAAUAGAUAUGGAGUUAUCGGAUAUGUCAUUCUCAGUGAGCUUAGACGAAGGCCAGGGUUGUGAAUGGGGUAGCAGAAAUGGGCUGUCAGGUUUGUUUGCACAGAAGAAGAAUAUGUUAAAUCCGUACUUUUGGAAAAUGCUUCGAGAAAUUAUCAAGUUUAAGGAUGAUGUGCUCAGUUAUCUUGAGAUGCUUGAGAACAAUCCAGAUGUUGAUAGGAAUGAGACCUUAGGGAAAUUUGUCAAGUCACGAGGUUACUCUGAAUUAUUUCAGAAGGCUUAUCUUAUUCCCGUAUGUGGUUCUAUAUGGUCCUGCCCUUCAGAAGGAGUCAUGAGCUUUUCAGCUUUCUCUGUACUUUCAUUUUGCCGUAAUCAUCAUUUACUUGAGCUCUUUGGUCGGCCUCAGUGGCUCACUGUCACACGGCGAUCGCAUUCUUAUGUCGACAAGGUCAGAGAAAAGCUGGAAAGUUGGGGUUGCCAGAUACGAAUCGGUUGUGAGAUACAGGCUGUUUCAACUACAGACGAAGCAGGUUGCGCAGUUCUCUGUAGAGAUGGCUUGCUAGAAAUGUACAGUGGGUGCAUAAUGGCUGUCCAUGCCCCAGAUGCUCUGGCAUUAUUAGGAAAGCAAGCGACAUUUGAUGAGACGAGAAUACUUGGUGCUUUCCAAUAUAUGUAUAGCGAUAUUUUCCUUCACCGUGAUAAAAAGUUUAUGCCCCAAAACUCAGCAGCAUGGAGUGCAUGGAAUUUCUUAGGAAGUACUGACAAUAGAGUCUGCCUGACAUAUUGGCUGAAUGUGCUUCAGAAUAUUGAUGAAACAGGCCUGCCUUUUCUUGUGACACUCAAUCCAGAUCAUGCACCAGAUCAUACCUUGGUCAAGUGGUCAACUGGCCAUCCUGUUCCAUCUGUAGCUGCAACAAAAGCUUCGCUUGAGCUUGAUCAUAUUCAAGGCAAGAGGAGAAUUUGGUUUUGUGGAGCAUACCAGGGUUAUGGCUUCCAUGAAGAUGGACUAAAGUCAGGCAUGGUUGCUGCACACGGUUUGCUUGGAAACAGCUGUGCCAUUCUGAGCAAUCCAAAACAUAUGGCACCUUCUAUGUUAGAAACUGGGGCACGCCUUUUUGUUACUAGAUUUCUUGGACAUUAUAUCUCCACUGGCUGUUUAAUUUUGCUGGAGGAAGGAGGCACAGUUUUCUCCUUUGAGGGAACUUCAAAAAAAUGUUCACUGAAAACUGUUUUGAAGGUUCACAAUCCCCAGUUUUACUGGAAGAUAAUGACACGGGCUGAUUUAGGCCUCGCAGAUGCAUUUAUCAAUGGUGAUUUUUCCUUUGUUAACAAAGAUGAAGGCCUUCUAAACCUUUUCAUGAUUCUCAUUGUAAAUAGAGAUGCUAAUAAAUCUGCAUCAAAGCUGAACAAGAAAAGGGGCUGGUGGACACCAUUAUUAUUCACAGCCGGUAUUGCAUCUGCAAAAUUUUUCAUUCAGCAUGUAUCAAGGCAAAAUACUCUUACUCAAGCUCGCAGAAAUAUCUCUCGUCAUUAUGACCUGAGUAAUGAGCUUUUCGCACUGUUCUUGGAUGAAACAAUGACGUACUCCUGUGGAGUAUUUAAGACAGAGGACGAGGAUUUGAAAGACGCUCAAAUGAGAAAAAUAUCCCUUCUAAUCGAAAAGGCUAGAAUCAGUAAAGAUCAUGAAAUUCUUGAGAUUGGUUGUGGCUGGGGAACCUUGGCCAUUGAAGCUGUCCAACGAACUGGAUGUAAAUACACUGGCAUCACUCUAUCUGAAGAACAACUAAAAUAUGCAGAAAUGAAAGUAAAGGAAGCUGGCCUCCAGGACCGUAUAGCAUUUCACCUCUGCGACUAUCGCCAAUUGCCCAAGACCCACAAAUACGACAGAAUAAUAUCCUGUGAAAUGAUAGAAGCCGUCGGCCAUGAAUACAUGGAAGAGUUUUUUGGCUGCUGCGAAUCAGUAUUAGCAGAAAAUGGGCUUCUUGUCCUACAGUUCAUAUCAAUACCAGAAGAAAGAUAUGAUGAGUAUAGGCAAAGCUCAGAUUUUAUUAAGGAAUAUAUUUUUCCUGGUGGAUGCUUGCCUUCAUUAACAAGAAUAACAUCAGCCAUGGCCACCUCAUCGAGACUGUGCGUGGAGCAUGUGGAAAAUAUUGGAAUUCAUUACUAUCAAACACUUAAAUAUUGGAGAAAGAAUUUCCUGGAGAAGCAGAGAAAAAUUCUUGCCCUGGGAUUCAAUGAGAAGUUCAUCCGAACAUGGGAGUAUUAUUUUGACUAUUGUGCAGCUGGUUUCAAGACACAUACACUUGGAAAUUACCAGGUUGUAUUUUCACGUCCUGGCAAUGUUGUUGCACUAAGCAAUCCAUACAAAAGUUUCCCUUCAGCGUAUUGAUUCUUUUCUGUGAGGGAAGAUAGCACCAUCACACUGAAGCCAGUCCAACCAAAUUCAAAGAUCUCCCUUGAAAGCUAGCUUGUCUUGACAACUAGCAGAAUUACUGUUCAGGAUA
Populus nigra (black poplar) is the source of this 3064-nucleotide RNA transcript. It is a transcript of the gene named sphingolipid C9-methyltransferase 2-like, with no coding region annotated. The transcript has 27 exons. The record is from RefSeq and is a predicted model, not a curated record. Lineage: Eukaryota; Viridiplantae; Streptophyta; Magnoliopsida; Malpighiales; Salicaceae.